Hirundo rustica (Barn swallow) is the source of this 1100-nucleotide long non-coding RNA. RefSeq lists it as uncharacterized. The transcript has 3 exons. The record is from RefSeq and is a predicted model, not a curated record. NCBI's taxonomy places the organism in Eukaryota, Metazoa, Chordata, Aves, Passeriformes, Hirundinidae.
GUUCAAAUCUGAAAGUGGUUUACCAGACUCUCAGGAUCUAGAGCGCUGUUAUGGUUGCUGGUUGCUCGAAAUCUCAGGAGGUUGCACGGCAUUCCUACCGGCUCCAAGUGGAAAAUAGAAAAAACAUGUCUUGGCAGUAGGAGGCUGUACUGCAAUCACACUGCUCUGCUUCAUGAGCCUCACACGCUCCUGUUCAUCUCAAACUGCUGUAGUAAAUCAGGAGGAACCUCACUGACAUCCGUGGCAUCAGCACAGAAGCAACGAGAGCCACAUCCAGAGUAGCAGGUGCUGACUCUGCAGGCGGACCUGGGGAGAGGCUGGAGGCAGGGAGUGCUGUGGCUGCACGGGGAAACCACGCCAGGGUCACGGAUGGAUCCCGGCUCCAGGACCGGCCCCAAAGCGCCAGGGCUGCGGGACGUGCGGGGCUGCGGCAGGAGGACCAGCAGGAGAGGAGGGGAGAGCGCCGGGCUCCCACCUCUGCUUCCUCCCACCUCGGCCUUCCUCCCACCUCUGCCUUCUCCCACCUCUGCUUCCUCCCACCUCUGCUUCCUCCCACCUCUGCUUCCUCCCACCUCUGCUUCCUCCCACCUCGGCCUUCCUCCCACCUCUGCCUUCCUCCCACCUCUGCUUCCUCCCACCUCGGCCUUCCUCCCACCUCUGCUUCCUCCCACCUCUGCUUCCUCCCACCUCUGCUUCCUCCCACCUCUGCCUUCCUCCCACCUCUGCCUUCCUCCCACCUUUGCUUCCUCCCACUCUGCUUCCUCCCACCUCUGCUUCCUCCCACCUCUGCUUCCUCCUCGACCUCUUCCUCCUUGUUCUCUUCCUGCUGCUCAGAGCAAGCUGCUGAGUCAGAGCAGCGAGAGCAGGAAAUUCUCUGUUCGGAGGGUGAGAUCAGAGUGUUGUUCCUGAUAAGCAAAAGCAAUUUAUUUUGCUUUGCUGGCCAUUUCAGUGCGGCCAGCGGCUGGGCAGCGUGCUCGGUGGUCACCGUGCUAACAGGCCGCUUGUUUUCCUCACACCAUCACGGAGAGCACGGAUUGCAAAUGCAAUUGCACUGGUUUCACAAAUGAAGUAUUGCAUGUACUGCAAUGAAAUGUGUGUUG